GGCACUCGAGGGAAUCUCCAAGAGGAACUCGGAGCGGACACCUAAACGCUUGUUUGAAAACUACUCGCUUGUUUUGACUAGGUGAGUGUUCCAUAUAGGAAUACGUAAUUGAAUAAGUUUAGGACACACUUAUUUCAUGAUUAUUAAGUGUUAAGUACUAUGUGUUAAGUAUUUACCAUACUCAUGCCUAUUUAAGGAAUGUAUACUUGCAUUGUAUAUCUACAUGAAUUGGUUAAACGAUUAACCAUAUCAAAUGACCAUAUGAACUCGAUACAUGCUUAACUUGCUAGAUUGUUUACUUAACCUACUUGAUUUUGAGAAAUGGAGUCGAGUGUGUACUUUAUCGCACUCGUUCUCUUUUGAGAUGAAUAACUCAUGCUUGGAAAUGCUCGAAUAACAUGACUUGGUAUGCUAAGGUUGCAUACGUCGUUGGAGUGAAUCUCCUCGACUCUCACAUGGUAAAAAUGGGAUAACGGCCAAUGAUGGCCUAUUCAUAUGACAAAUGCCUGUCAAUUAACCGUCACUAUUUAACCGUUAACCGUUAACCGUCAACCGUUAACCGUGAACCGUUUACCAACCACAUGACUACUUGAUUACUUGACUAUUUGCUCACAUGAUUUCCAAUCUACAUGACUAUUCGAUAUCCGUGAAUUACAUGCUCCCAUGAAAUCAACUUGUAUUGCUUACGUGCUUACGUGCUAAGUAUCUAAUUGAUUAAUUGAUUAUCAUGAAUCACAUGUUAUAUGAAGCUGUCCAUCAUUAUUAGGCGAGUGUGUACUUUAUCUCACUCGACCUACUCAAAUGAUGAAUUUUUCCUUUUGUCGAAUUACUUGGUUACCUAUGCAUGUUGUAAGCUCUAAGCUGAACUUGGGCCCUGCCCUUGGUUACUGACCUACUCGAACCAGGACUGGGCUCGGUCGGGUAGGUUGAAACCCUGGGCCACCGUUUCGGUAUACUCGAGUAUUACCACUGGAGGGAUAAGGCGAUGGCCAGACCGUACCGUGGGGAUCGGAAGUCAUAAGGUGUAGAUGACCGACAGAGUUCCACUGGAACACCGUAUCCUACAGUAUAUGUUUACCUGGUAUCAUGAUAAUUGUUUCAUGCUAAAAUGCCAAUAUGAAAUCCUGAGCUAUGCCUGUAAUAAGCUCCAAUCACUCGUGAACUAUACAUGCCAAUGUCUUGAACCAUAAUAACUGUCUCAUGAUAAAUGUCUCAUACCAUGAUAAUGUCUCAAAUUACCCGUACAAUGAUUAUCACCUCAUGAUAACAUGCCAUUGUGUAACCUUGAACCAUGCAUAUGAUAUGCCCAAUCUACUUGAUUUAUUUGAACUGUUAGAGUGUCUUGGAACCUCACUGGGCUGUAUAGCUCAUCCCACGUUGUGGUUUUCUUUUACAGGGUUCGAGACCAAUGGUGCUCGUGAGUAGUACUAGAUUGUUUUCUUUUGAAAACUUUAAUUUUAUAUUAUAACGGAUGGUUAUUGUACCCUUUUCCGUUGGGUUGUAUUUAAGCUUGAAAGCUGCAUAAUUGUAAGUGUAAGAUAUUUGAAGUACUUUAAUUAUGUAUUGAAGUUACUUAAGGUAUUUCGGGCUUUUGAAUGAUGGAUUGUAGUGAGUCCUGGCGAGAGUUGGGCAGGCGUCCCGCGGAUACCCUUUGGUUCGCCUUAGGGAGAAGUGGGGGCGUCACAUAAAGGGUAAUCACUCCACCCCUCUUACCUUUCAAAUUAUAAGAAGUUUAAAGGUUAAUCUCCAUAGGUUUGAAACCCUAACCGCGUAUUAGGCUAGCAGAUUUGAGGAACCAUUUAUUUCGCUUUAAAUCAUAGGUUAGUUAUUUUGAUGAGGCCUCUAGGUGGCUGACUUGAGGCUUGAUUGUUUGAUUAUGAUUGUUUAUGUGAUAUAUAGCUUGAUUAUGGUUAGAAAGUAGAGAGAAAUCGAAAGAAAGUUGUGAAGGCAAGCUAGCCGAAAAUUCUAUCCAUGUUGUUCUGUCUUUAUUUCGGAAUUUUGAUACUUGGUUGGCUGCGAAAUUGAUCGAUAUAUAUUGUAUAAUGUGUAUACAAAGUGCCUUUCAAAAAUUGUAUCGAAUGGUUGCACAAAACUUGAGUUUUGGAAAAGUUUCAAAUCUGGAAAACGUAUAGCAGGGUACCUGGACAGUAAGUCUUUGUCUAAACAUAACUUUUUGUGCAAAGGUCGAAAUUGAGUGCCGUUAGUGGCAUUCAAAACUAGACAUUCAGAGCUUUCAACGGUAUAAAAAUCUGCUUCUAGUUCAUUUUGAGUGAUCCGUAGCGAAUCAACAAAUUCGGCUGUUCUGCUUUGCCUAUGUGUUCGAAUGAAACUGGAAAGCUACAUGUUGUGGCUCGAUUUUUUCGCACUUGUGAAAAGAUUUUCAAAACAAAUCUGAUAAAUUGUAGCAUUUUGAACUUAAUUUCCAAUGUCAUAAACCAUUCUCAAUUUAGAGUUGUAUAGAGCUAGAUAUGGUUUGAUUUUGAAAACACGACAAAGCUAGAAAUUGGAAGAUUUUCCCUUCCUUGCUGACCAAAUGGUCAAAUCUGUUUUGGGAUGUUAUAUUUUGAAAAUCUUAGUGUCAUUUAACCAUCAAUUGCUUAUUAAAUGGUUUUGGAACCUUGGUUUAAAAAAUGGAGUGAAUUGGGGCUGAUUUUAUUGGACAAAACUUUUGGAAAAGAAAAAGAAAUAGAAUGGCAGAUUCACUUUGAAAGAUUUCACCAACUUUGGUCGUUUCGUUAACUGCCUUUCCGUGCAAGUUUUUGUCUAAAUUUCUAUAGAGAGGUAGUCCAUAUAUGGAGGUUUAAGUGUACCAAAUUUGGUGUUAUUUCAAUACCAUUUCAAUAUCCAGAUGAUGCCCCAAAGAUUGCUCUUCAAAUUUGUAAAUUCACUGUUCAAGUCGUGAAAAUCAACCGACUUUAAAUUGUUAUAUCUUGUUGCUCAAAACUCCAAAUUUAAUUCUGCUUGUUGUGUUUGAAACUUUAAUUGGGAGUCUUAUUGUGUUACAAAUUUCAAAGGUUGAUUCCCUUUCUGUGAAUUUUACCGAAUUUCCAAAUAUCACCGAAAACCAAGACUGGUUAUGUCUUGUCUUCUUGAAUCAGCAACUUUGAACUAAAAAAUGAAUGCUUUCUGUUUGAAAUCUUAAAAAGGUGUCUUCUGGGAACUUUUAGUAUUUUGGAUCUAGUUUCCAACGGUAUAAAUUUUCUAUUUUUGCACAUACGAAACUCAAGCUCCGAUUUUAUCAACUUUAUCGCGCAAGCUGAAAAUUCAUGAUUUCUUGGGAAAUGAGUUUUUGAGAACUUUUCAUUGUCUUUCAAUAUCGAUCAUCCAUUUUAAACUCAUUUUCAUGGAGGAUACAAGUUUCUCUUGUGACUUUAAAUGUUCACUUUUGAAUUUCGAUUUUCGAGAUAUUAAAACUCUUUUAAGACAUUGUCUUAGUAUUACGCAAGUGUACAUUCUUCCUUAUUUGGCAAGGGGUUUGUAAGUAUUUGUGAGUGAUAAUUAAUUGUUAUUUCUUCAGACGCUCAAGAGGAUCUUGAAGAGAAUCUUGAAGCCGACCACUAAAGAUCUUAUUUGCACUUUCUCACUUAUUUUGAAUUGAUGAGUGUCAAGUGCAUGAAUAGUUGCCAAUUAUGUAAAUUGCUUCUUAUUGAUUAAGUGAUUAACAAUCGUCGAGUCGAGUGUGUACUUUAUGGCAUUCGUUCUCUUUUAAUUGAUUAUAUAAUUGAAUUGCUCAUAGUUGAAUUUAUAAUUAUGGUUGAAUAUGCCGAUUGGAGUGAAUCUUAUUGGCUUAUAAUUGUAUUUGUUGAUUGGAGUGAACCUCAUCGAUUUAUAAUGGAAAUCGGGGGAUCCCCAAAUCUCAAUUGGCCGACCUUACGACUGGAGCCAGCAUAGGCUUGGUCGAGAAGCUUGGUGAACCAUGAGAUAAUUAAAAGAUGAUCUAUUAAGAGAUCUCGCUUGACAUACUCAUGGAAUAGUGCCUUUUAUAAAAGAAGUGCGAGCCCGGGACAGGGGGUGUAACGGUGAAUGAGAAUUGUAGAGUAAGUGGACUUCUAAGGACUUAAUACCUACCCGGUUUUGACGGAGUGUCAUCCCGUGAAGAUAUUUGAUCGAGUCUUAGCGAAGCGAGUGGAAUCUAGCUCCUGAGAUCUCAUGUAUCCUUAUUAAGUGUGUUAAUGUUAUUUAUGUGUUACUUGAACUUCCUUGUUUUAUUUCUCGUACAAAUGUCAUUGUUAUUUAACUAUGUGUUUGCAUGUUUUCUUGGCCUCACUGAGCAUCAGCUCAUCCCAUUAGUUUGUUCUUCCUUAACAGGAGCUCGGAAUGGAAAGAAUUUUAGGGAGAGCCGACUUGUUUACUUUUGAGUAAAAUUUUGGGAUGUAAUUGACUCGUCGACUCAUAGCGGUUGUAUUUUGGGAGGAUUGAUUUGAUUUUGGGAACUUGUGAUGUAAGAUUUGAAAGUUUAUUUAAGGGAGAGACUUCUCCUUAUUUUGACUUUUAUUAUUGGUUGUAUAUCUUUAAAUUUAAAUUUGACUUGUAUCGAGUCCUGGCGAAAGUUGGGCAGGCAUUCUGCGGAUACCUUUGGGUUCGUCCUUGGGAGAAAUGGAGGUGUCACAAACACUGCUGGUUAUAGGGCUGGCUAUGAUGUUGGUCAAAUUGAUUGUUGAAAUUUUAUGGUUUACUAUACACUAGGGCUAUCGUGUUUUGACCACCUCAAACCUUGUCUAUAAAUACGGGAUGAUUUGAACAAUGAAGGACAUAAUAGCCAAGAGAAAGAACUUUGGAGGCUAGAAACAACUCCAAAACAUGUACUAUUUCAAUUAGAAAUCUUUAGUUCUUUACAUUAUUAUAGGUUAGGUAGUUCUUAUACAAUCUCUGUAUGCAUCUAAACUUGGAUAAAGAUUGAAGAUUGAAGAAGAAGAGAUCGAAUGCUCACAAGUGACAAGAGUUUCUUCUCUCAACUCUUUUGAUUUCUUGUAUUUGUACUUCACUAAUUAGUUGCAAUACAAGAUUGUUGUGUGCUUUCUAUUUCAUUUUAUUUUGCUAAAGUUUAUGCCUUGGAUUGAAUGAACUUUUUAUGAUUGUUAUGUGAUAUUUGCUUGGUUAUUUGAUACUUUGAGCAAGUUAUUUAGAACAUUAACAAUCAUGAUUAACUAGCUAUUAGUUGUGAUUAUAUCAAGGUAUUGAUUCAUCCAUGAAGGUGGGGAUUCAAUCUUAGUUCAAAAAAGUGCUAAACCUAGAUUGUACACUCAUUAAUAUAGGGUUGCAUCUUUGUGGCAUUAGUAGUUUUUUCCAUAUAAUUCAUAGAGUUGAAUAAAUUUAUAGUUAAAUUCAUAUCACGUUAGUAGGUGUGGAGUAGUUAUAGACAUGGUUGGUACACCGACAGAAAGGGUAUCACGUAUAUAAGGAAAUUACGUCAUAACUUAGUCAAGAUAAACGUACUCAAUUAACCAGUAAAAUCACUUGCAAUAAUAAUUAGGAAUUUUGCAUCCCUAGGAGCCUUUUGAUUGUUGUUUUUACUUCCUUUUAUUAUUUAUUCAUAGUAUAGAUCUACUUGCUUUUAAUUGUGGUUGUCUAAGUAAUAGAGGAGUUCGAAAACCACUAGUAUUUGACAAUCUUUCCUGUGGGAUCGACACCUAAUAUAACCUAUAUUCAAUAAUGAUCUAUAUACUUGUAAUAUUUAUGUUUUUAAAAUUUGAAAAGAAGGAAAAAACCUCAUCACCUUCGGCACAUUAUCUUUUGUUGGACUGCUCACUCUUCUGGAUACUUUACAAUCAAAUAUGUAGUUGAAGUGUUAAGUGAGCACACUGAGGAUACUAUUGGUAUGGCUUAAAAAGUAUGCACCAAGAUUUGCUUUUAUAGUUUGGCUAACUUGUCAAAAUAGAUUGGCUACUAAGGAUAAACUCUUCAAAAUAGAGUUUUGUUAUUUAUUAGUUAUGUGGAUGAUGCAACACAUAAUGUAAGAGACACAUACUCUUGAUAAGAUGAAUCCUCUUUCUAGUUUGCCAUCGCAUCCAUCUCCUAUCCCACCUUCUAUUUAGCAGCCGAUCCUACCUCUCACUCCUUCUUCUCUGCUUUUCUUUCUCCUUCCUCUUCCCCAUCAUCCUACUCAUAACCCUAUUGUACCCUUCCCAUUGCUUCAAAUUCAGAUUAGCCCCACAAAAACCUAGAUGCACCUUCAAUACCUACUCAACAAACAAUUUUCUCUUCAUUUGAAAAUUGCCUUCUUAAUUCCCAAUCCAACCAGGAUAAACCUUAUCCUGAUGAUUCCGAGAACGAAGGAGAUAUCUUUAAUCCUCUCUCAAGCAUUUUCUCAAGAGUUGAUAAAUCCUAUAGUUGUAACUUUUGGAACCUCUCUCUCAUUAUCAAACCUUUAGGUACGACCUUAGAUUUUAAAUAUGUCAACUAGUAGCUCCGUGUAAUUUUGAAACCAAUUGGAUGUCUCUCAUUUAGGACAUUGGUUGAGAUUAUUACAUAGUGAACUUCAAGGAGCUCUUGGGUUAUCAAAAAGUUCUGUCAAAAGGCCUGUGAUUCAUCAAUAAAUACUUCAUUGCUAUUAGAAGAUAGACUCCCAACUUCAAUACCUUAGACAACAUUAGUAAUACUACUGUUAUUUGGGUAAGACUCUUAUCUCUCAAUGGAAUAUUAUGUUGCAUAGAUCCUUUCUAAGGUGAGAUAUAUUUUGGAAAAUUUACUAAAAAUUGAUGCUAGAAUAGCUAAGUUAGAAAGGGGGAGGUGAAAAAAAACUAGAAAGAGGGUGCUUUGCAUGCCUGUGUAAAGCUCAAUUUAGAUAAACCUUUGAUUCCAUUUAUCCAGUUGGGAAGAUUUAAACAAUCUUUGCAGUAUUAAGGUUUGUGCUUCUGUUUCUUUGUAGAUUUAUAGGUCACGAUGUGAAAAAAUGUAAGCAAAAUCUACAGGUAGAGAAACCUGAGAAGUCUAUUGAUCUUUGAAAAAUUCUACUUAUGGGCCAUGGAUAUUAGCUGGUUUGAAAAGAAAAAUGGAGUGGUACCACCGAGAGAUCGGAAAAUCUUAACCAAUACAAAUUUCAAAUGAGCCAAAUCGUCUUGGGCUCCACCAUAAAAACCCAAAACCUUAAACAAAGUUCAAAAAACUACAAUUAACCCUCUAGGCCAAACACUUCUUCUUUAGAUCACCUUUCAACCUUGACUCUAGAAUAUAUAUUGACUUUUGAGUAAACAAAACUAUAGUCUAACCCCAAUUUCCCUUUUCAUGUCACCUCAUGUACUUCAUUACCACCUAACUCUUCUAAAUUUUUUUCCAAUAUGGAAAUGGUGUCUACAAAUUCAACAUCGCCCCUUUCUAUAAUUUCAAAGACUCAUGAGUCUUCAAUAUCAAAGAGUGAUGUUAUUGCAAACCUUAGCAAUUCAAAUUAGAACCUUCUCAUCAAAUUAGAUACUCUCUCUAACCUCUAACCUGUGAGAACCCGAAAAUUUAUUUUCAUAUCUUUUAUUUUAACCAUUUGUCUUGAAUUCAUGGUUGAUUUAAUGGUUGAGUAAUGAUUUUUGUAUCAUGUUGCUUCAACUUGUAGUAUGUCGAGUUUCAUGGUGCAUUAUGCUAAUGUGACCAACUAGUGAGGUGAGUGCAAUAAAUUUGGUGGACAAGGAGUUUUGUGCAAAAGGGAUUAUGUGCCAAGAGGUAUUAAGAAUUAAUUGAAGAAGAAAUAGAUAUUUGGGUGCAUUAGAAACAAUUAGAUAGACUUGAGUUAGAUGCUUGCCAUUUGUCACUCAUCUAACCAACCUUGAUUUUGAUCAAAACCAAUACUUAUCCAACCAAGCUUUUCUUUCAUCAUUAUUUCUUCUUCUUUCUUCUUGUCUUGGUUGAAAAUAUGGAGAGAAAAGUGAGAGAAAAACAUAAAUUUUUAACUUUGAUUUCUUGUCUAAUUAAUGAAAAAACAAGAGAAAAAUCCUUAUCCACUCCAUAAAUAUUUGAGGCAAGUUCGGAAGGAAACUCUUGGAGGAGUUUUUGGGGAAAGGAAGCUUUACAACUUUCGUGAUUUGCUUUUCAUACUAGGUUUUAGAGGUAAAAAGGUAAACCGUGUUAGGAAACCUAUCUUUCUUAUCUUAUCUUUGAGUUUAGUUGAUGUAUGAUGUUAUAGAAGCUAAAAGAAAGACUUGUUUUUUGGAGGAUUUAAUGUUUUCUCAAGUUAUAUUGUAAAGUUCCAACUUUGGUGCAUAAAAUAUAUAGUCUAGUUUAGAGUUUAUUUAUGUGCAAUUUUGAUGGAUUCCUUUACCAAGAAUAUAUACACCUCAUGACAUGUUAGCUUUGAUCAAUAGUGUAUUUACCAUGAAAAUAGGGUUGAAAGUUGGAGGUUUAAAUAGAGAAACUUGGGAACAAGUUGCUGCCAAUUCUUCUUUGGUUGGCUGAGAGAGAGAGGGGGAAAGUUUGAGUUGUCAGUUUAGAGUGAUUGUGAUAUGCUUUUGCUCAAGAUACUUAAUACUUUGAUCUUCACAUGUAUGUUGGUUUUGAGCCAAAACAAAGAGAAUUAAGUGGAGAAAAAUGAUUUUUCUCCAAACCAUUUUAUUACUCGAAAUUUCCAGUUUUGAACCUCAAGAGUCUUGUCCUUUUCUUCAAAAUUUUUGACUAUAAUCAAUGUAUUUGUGCUCCAUAUUAUCCUUGAAACAUUGUUUUAGCAUGCACGUUAUUUUUUCCCUUGAUUUGAGCAAUAAAAAUUUGCAAUUUUAGAAGCUAUAUUAGGGUAAAAUCUGUAAAUUGAUGUGUCUUCUAAGUGAAACUUCAAAACUCAAAAUUUUUCAUUUAUAUUUGCUUAGAGUUGAUGGACUCUUGAUGUACUAUAUGAUCACAAGAUUUGAGAGUGUUCAAGAGAAAGAACUAGGCUUUAAAGUGAAAAGAUCAUGAUAUAGUGGUGUGUUCCAACUGCAUGUUAGGACCAUGUGAUUUACUUGAUUAAUGCUUCAUGUAACUUGUUGACUAAAAUUGCUAGAUAUCUUGAAUUGUUAGUGCACAGGCGAGUGUAUAUUUUAUCGCGCUCGUCCUCUGUGAAAUUGAAUUCCAUGAUCUUGAAUGUGCACGAAUAUAGGUCUCAUACAUGAUUGCAUCAGUUGAAUUGGACCCUUCACUGGAAUUCUUAUCCGAGACCCAUCUUAGUGAGGUCAGCUAGGCUGGACAGCCUUGGGUAAAGAAAGGAUUUCUAUUCUGUUUACAAGUGAUCUGGACAAGUGAAAUGCAAUAUUUGAAUGUUGGAUACUCGUGUGCUUUACCCCAACGAUUCCACUGAGUGACUAACUUGACAGUCGAUUGUGUACUUUUACCACAUUAGCUAUACUAUUAUUGGGGCUCCAAAAUCCGAACCCCUUUGGUUAGUUGAUCGAAUCGAGCUAGCGAGCACUUGCUCGAGUAGAUUGACGAACCAUGGGUACUGUUUAUUGAACUUGUACUGGAUUUGGUAUACUCGAGUAUUACCCUUCUUGUUAUAUAUUUAGCGUUCAGGCCUGAUAGGAGGAUGAUCAGUGGAUGGAGAAUGGAGUUAAGCGGUAAUCUACAGGAUAUUAUUACUGUAUUCUAAGGUUGAUGGAGUAUCAACAGAUCCUGGACAAACUACUAUUGAAUUGGCUCGGAAAAACAUACUGUUUCUACUGAACUAACUCACAAGAGUAGACUGUAUCCUUUUACAUGAAUAUGUUAUUGACUGUACAUUGUUAAAUGAUUUAUUUGGAUAUUGCUUGCUUCAUGAAAUAUGUGAUCAUACCAUCAUGUAAAUUUUACAAUACCUGAUAGAUUGUUUGAACGUUUUUUUGGGAGCUCAUUGGGCUUUUAGCUCAUCCCAUUAUUUGCUUUCCUUAACAGGUUGUGGGGAUGAGAGAGAUGAUGAUAGCAAUAAUUUGUAAUAGGAAAUUUGGAUCUUGUAUUUGGCUGACAUACUAUAUUAUGGAACUAGUCUUUUAAACUCUUUUCUUUUGGCUUGUCCUUGAAUUUGAAUAUUUGGAUGAUUUGUGGCAUAUAAAUGUUACAUUGAAGGACUUUAGUGUUAUUGAUUAAGGUUUGUAGUGAGUUCUAGCGAAAAUCAGACAGGCAGUUAGCUACCCUCUGGGGUAUGCCCUAGGGAGAGAUGGAGUUGUCACAUAAUCUCUCCGCUAUCCCUUAUUGGCACUUAUCAUUUUUCAAAAAAUUGGUCACCCUAGAAACUUCUCACAUAGGAGGGCUCUAAGUGCAGAGUCCAUAUUCAAUAAUUGCACUCACCAUCACCACCAUUAUGAUUGUAGACGGGUGAGAAGAACCCUACCUUGCUACCAAUAAUAUCAAGAACCAAUUUCUCAACAACGAACAACCUCUAAUCUUCAUUCUCAGAGAUCUCCCAGCUUGGAAACAUGUCGACACCUACCACAUCCUCAACCCGCUCUUGGCCUUGCAACCAUACGUGACAUGGAAGGACAUCAAAAGGCAAUAAGAAAGUGACAUCUUGGGAAAAAUGCAUCUGUUGGGAAGCAGUAUUGGUGUAGCCAUCACAAUGGACUUCGACCUUACUCGAUCUACUUGGAAAUCAAGCAGACCACUAGAUGCUCUUAUUGCACAGUCCUGUAGGAUAAUUGCUCCAGUGGUAGCUCCAAACCAUUGAUACCAUCUGAGCCUAAUUCCCCAAAAUCAUGCCCUAAGACACAUGGCCUCAAACCAAAGAUAAGAAUGAUUGCUGCAACCAAGCAUAGAGUUAAUUCUAGAGCAAUUAUCUAUCUCUAGUGCUCUUAGAAAACAAGACUCAAUAAUGGUUCUUAUCCUCAUAAGAGAAAUCAUAGGAGCUCGUAUAUUCCUAACUUGUAGAGUGGACUCACUCUUAAGAGUGUUAGACUUCUUAACAGACCUUUAACUUAAAGUCAAUCAGAGAUUGAAAGUAGAGAUGUUCAAAAAUUGGAAUGCUUUACCCCCCAAAUUGUGACGGCCCUACCUCCCCCUAAGGCGUACCCUAGAGUUUAGUGAACCGCUUGCCCAACUCUCGCCAGGACUCAAACACGCUUAACUCGAGAAAGAACUUACAAUCAUAGAAAGGAAAUAAAACAACGAUUUCAAACUUAGCAUAUACAUUGACUUAAAUCCAACUAGAAGUCUCAUACAUGCCCAAAUACAUUAAAAUAUUUACAGUCCAAGUACAAUCAACCCCUAGUCAGGUGCUAGCUCAAGAACAAUUGCAAAUUUCAAAAAAAUUAGACCACACUAGUUUGUACAAGUCUCAUGCCUCGCUCGUACCCCUAUAAGGAAAACAAAUGACGUGGAAUGAGCUAAAAGUCCAGUGAGGUUCCAAAUAGCAAGUUAACCAUUAUUUAAAAGUGCAAAUAUCACGUAGUAAAGUAAUAAGUAUGAAAAGUUCAUAAAAGUGAGCAAUAACACUUCAAGUAGCAAAUCUCAAAGUGAGCGAGUGUAAAGCUUUUCUUUUAAAACGAAACAAUGACACGAUAAGUACUAAUCAUUCCAAAGUAUAAGGAUACGGAAGGCUCUCAAGAGCCAAAUUCCUAUUGCAUCACCAGAGCUUGAUCAAGUAAUAGUUGACACUCCGUUAACUUUCAAUUAAAUAACCAAUCUAGUAGAGCACCACUUAAACUACUCUCCGUCCACCAUCCAAACCCCUUACCGGGCCCGAACUCCAAAAUAAACACUGGUGGUAAUACUCGAGUAUACCGAUUAGUCGAGAAGAUAACACUCCACUCGACAACACUAGAUACCUAUGGCUCGUUAUCUAAUCGACCAAUUCCUUACUGGCUCAACUCGAAUAACUAGCCAGUGGGGUUUGGGUCCCCAAAAGUCGAUGAGAUAACACUCCAAUCGACUGAAUCAAGAUAAAAGUACGGAGACGGGAAGGAGAGGCACCUCUCACUCACAUUGAGUGUGGCACAUGCUGCCGCUCAGCACUUACAAGUCAAGUACAAGUAUAUCAAGUCAAUCGCAAUAAUAAACAAGUAUAUAUCAUAUUAUGGCAAAUGCAAUAAAGUAGACUCUUGCCCGAUCCAACAAAUUACAUAUCAUUAAAUCACAUUGGUCAAGUAUUAAAAACAAGUGUUCAGUUCCAUCAGGUAUUUGGAAGCACUUACCAAAGAUGUAGUGCCUUUACGGAUCACGUUUAGGUAUUACUCAUUGUUUGGAGUCCAAGUCUGCGAUGAAACAUUGUUUAAGAGUUUUGAAAUUCAACUAAGAUUCGAAACUUAAACGUUUCAUUUAACAAAAAUCAAAUAAUUCCAACUCAUUUAGAGAAUAUUCGUAAAACUUAUGCUCGCUCUUAAAACUUUGAAAUCCCCAUUUGAGUCGAGGAAAUGGAGAAAACUUAUUUCUAUUAGUCAUAAAUUUCAUUUUUCCAAGGGUACAAGUUUCGGUCGAAUGCUAACUUAUAAACUUCUAUGAAACAAGACUUGAAUACCCUAGACGAUUCAAGUUCGAUUCGUCCUCAAACCCUUACUCAAGUCAUGAGUAUAUCUACCUAACUUUCGAGUGAAAAUUUAGGCAGCAUGCCCUUUGUUUUUGCCUAUUUUCCAGCCAUUUAUGGCUUCAUUGUUUUUCAUAAUUCAGCCCCAAAACACAUACAAAUAAUCUCAUCACAAUAGUUGUUCAAUAGGCUCAAAAUCAUCCAAGUACAACACAAGUAUAAUAAUCCAAUCGAAAAUCAAGUUUUGAGGGCAAAAGACUAAAUGGCAUAUUCGACAUCUUAUAACAUUUUGAUCACAACUAGAGUUACGUUUAUCGGAUUGGUGUGAAAUUUAUACCAUUUCGAAGUUAAGAUAAAUGUUACAACUUUCAUGAAGACAACUCAACCCAAUUCACAAUUGAUCCAGGUCGAAAUUCUAGAUUACAGAACCAAAAUGUCCUUGUCAGUAUGGUUGUCAGUACUGAAUUCAAAUGACAAUAACUCAGGCUACACAAUUCCGUUUGAGGUGUUUUCAGAUGCGUUGGAAAGCUGAAACAUAGGGCUAAAAGUUUCAUGUUUUGGUCAAAAGCAGAUUUGUCGCGCCCCAUUUUUAAUAAUAAGAAAAAUAAAAGACGAGUUUAGAAAAAUGGCUUUUGAUUCAAUUUUUGAUUGGAAAAUGAAUUUUUGAUUUACAAAGAGAAUGAAAAACAUGGGUCUAAAUGGGACUUGAGAAUGCGAUGAUUUGACCCAAAAUAUAGUUUAAAAAGGAUUUUUGAAUGAAAAAUGGAAUCGCCACUUGGUAUAGAGUUAAGGUGUACCAAGUCACCUAAAAAUGAAUUUUUAAAGAAAAAAACGUAGAAAACCCUUUUUAAACGACUCCAAGUCUACGAAAAUCAGAGAAAAAGAUUCGGGAGUCACAUUUGAAGAAAGGGAAGGCAAGGAUAAAAAUCCAAGGCACCCUUUCAACCUAGCCAAGGCUAGUUGUGCGAUUUAGUCAAAGAUUUUCUCAUUUUUAACCUAAAAAUUUAUCACAUUUGGAUGUACUAUAUGAAUGCAAACCCUAGACCUAAGAGGGUAUCGGGGGGUCGAAAUGUAUCUUCAAAACUGACUUGGUACCAAUCACAUUAAUUGUGACGCCCAAUAAAGACUCUUUGAAGAAGCCACGAAUAAUGCAAGUCAUGAGACUCGAAAGAAAGAAAAAGUAAAGAAAAUAAUAAUAUACAAAUGUGUAUGACCUAAAGGAAUGCAUCAUAAUGGGUGCGGGGGACUUAUGUUCGUGACUCAAUGUUCCCUUUAAUAGAGAGAAUACGAGCGUGCUAAGGCUAGAAAACCAAACUCGUCCAUAUCCCAUAUCCAAGGGGUAACUUCCCUAAUCUAAUCAUGCAAAUGUACUAGCCUAGUUCUAAUCCUUACAUGGGAUGCAAGUCUAAUGUCAAGAUUCAUACAAAGGGGUAAGUAAUAUACAUAUAAAGGAAAAUAUGGGGGAAGGGGUAUACGUAUAAGGAGGGAUAUCAUGCAAAAAAAUGAUAAAGACCCUAAAAAGUGAAAAUAUGCAUGAUAUGAAGUGAUUUUAUCACACAAUCAUGAUCUAACGUGCGGAUAGUUCUUAAGGGUCUAGCGUUGGACUAGCCCUUAACUAACGUUCUCUCACAAGCAUUAGACUUGUAAGAGCUCGAAGGGAAGACCAUGACUAGCAUUGGACUAGCCACGGUAACGUACAUUCCAUCCACAUAACCAGAUAUAAUACUAAAAGCAAAUAGACAUGCAAAACACAUAGUUUCACAUAGCACGUAACACAUAAGCAUGUUUGUCUAGAUGCAGAAUCCUAGGGAAAGCGAUUAAACACAUAGGCAUAUAGGCACACACAAGCACAUAGCACACAAGCCCUAUCUAUUACAAAAAGGGAUGCCUACUACAAUCUAAAGGGGGGAAGAUUUAGAAAAGUAAAUCCUAACUAUUACAUUGGCUAGCUAAAACAUGUCUUCAAGAGAGGCGCCAAAACCUAGCUAUUACAAAUUGGGGUUCAAAUGCCCUCAAAUAACUUGCCAAUUAAAAAGGCGAAAUAAAAAGAAAGCGAAACAGGCAAUUAAACAUAAAAUGAAAAGUGAAUUAAAGCAUGCAUAUUCACACAAAACACGUAGGAGCACGUAGGAGAAAUAAAAUCAAGGAGAUAGAGAUUACCUCCCUUGCAAUGGUAAUGAAAUGAAGGAAAUAUUAGCUUCAAAACAAUAAAAGGGUCAAGGCACCAAUUAAAUAGUAAAGUAUAAACAAAAUCACCAAAUCCCUCCCAAUUGCAACUUAAAUGAAAUCAAAUAAUGCGUAAUUUCCAAGAAAGUAAAUUAUUGAUCAAAUUUCUAAAAUAGAAAAACUACCAAGGACCCAAUUGCAAAUACUAACCAAUCACUCAAACCCAAUUUAAACAUUUUAGGAAAUUCAAGGGUCCAAGAGCAAAGAAAGGGUCAAGUAAUGCUUGAAAUUGCAAUUACUUUAGGACCUAAUUGCAAGAAAUCAGAACAUAAUUGGGCCUUUAUAGAACGAGGAGAAACAUGUGAGGUUGAUUUGCAAUUUUUAGAAGUUAUUUUGCAUGCAAAUUCCAUGCAACAACCCACGAUACAAAUUGUCUGCUACAAAAGAAAACAUUCGGUAGCUUAGGGAGCUUUCUUCUGCAAUUGCUCGUUGCAAGCUUUGCAGCUUAAACUCACGCAGAUAAAGUACCAAAACAUUGUACAAAACUUAUUGUUUUAUUGACCUAACCCACACACAUCCAUUGAUCGAAGCUCAGGCAUGAUUACCUUCCCCUAAUUAUCCCAAUCAAAAAAAGUUCCAGGUCCAUGAAAGCAAGAACAACAACCAAAAUGCAGCAAAAAACCUUAUUGUUUUGCUUGAAAACGCUAAACUAUAGCAUUCAAGAAAGCAACCCAAUUCUGAACCACACUCUGAACUCUUCAUGAAAGUGCAAUGUUUGACACACAAAAAAACAGCUUGAAGCAAACACUGCUACUGGAAAAGCUCACAUAAACAGCUAGGGGCAGGGAAGAAAGGAUAGCAGCAAAUCAUGAGGAGGAAAUGCAGCUUUUUGGACCAAACCGCAAACAGGAAGAAAUGAAAUGAGAGCAACUGACAGAACCUAAUUCUAGUCAAACUUAACAUGCAUUGCUCUUAAGCAAAACAAACAAAACCAGAAAACACAAGAUGCAUGGCUCAAACUUCCCCCCCCCCCCCUUAUUCAUUUUCUUCUCGGCUUUGCAAGCAAAAAGGAAACUGCGUGCCUGCAUUUGCAUUUUUUUAAUGUCUAAACUUCCAAACAUAGCAGGCUUAUUCACUGAUGGUCAACUUCUAACACAACAGGUUUUCUUUUUCAUUCUAGUAUUCAACACACAAGAACUCAAAGGUGCACUGAACAUUCAACAAAAACGAAAAAAACAGCAACAAAUGGCCAACCACAACACCUAAAAUAUGCACUUGUCUCUACCUCGCUUCGUUAGAUUCACAAAUGUGAAACCCAACAUAAAACAUGCAGUAGAGAUAUGAAGACACUCACGGCAAACAUGCCCUCAGCCCACUAUCAUAGUAUCCAAACCCCAACAAAGUAAAACUUGAACAAGCAAAGGAAAAGUCACGGCUGCAACAGCUUUUUAGCUACUUGUUGCAGUCCAAAGGUAUUCCGCACCUUGCUACUUGAAAAUGGCAGCAAGCACAUACAACAACAAAACCCAAGAGAUGAUUUAAGCUACUCCGGAAAACUUCAGCAGACCAAAAGAUUGACUUUUUUUCAAGACUACUGUAACAAAACCAGAAUUUCAAAACCUGUUGCGGCAGACCUUCAAACACAAACGUAACCAAACUAAAACUCAAGCAAACUUCAUGGAUUCAUCAGGAAAAACCUAUAGAAAGACCUCCAAACACUUCAUCAGGAUUGAAUACUAGCAUGCAAACCAGGGUAAAACCUGGUUUUGGAAGAGAAAUUAGUAAAACCAGCUUCGUUUAUGAAGUUUUUACAAAUGAAAUGAGCUUGUCGCUAACUAAAAAAAAGGAGAUAAUUUCUAUACUUAAAGUCUUAUGAUCUGCAAGACCCAGAUGCAAUAAUAUGAAGCCAAUGUCCGAAACAGUCAGGGUAUGGGAAUGAAAGAACCAAAAGAAUAAAAACUAGCCCAUGAGAACAAAGAAACAGGAAAGGAAAAAAAAAUCAAGUAGCGAAACACUUGAUGACGGAUGAGGAAGAUGUGUAGGCGAAGGAGGAUGAAUGAAAGGGUUACCUUGAAGGAUGAUCGAACUCCACAGAAAACCAACGAGACCUGCUGCAACCUUGAUAAAGGAAACCGCAAGUGAAAGUAUGGAGAUCCGUCAACCCCCGUUCUUUUUCAUUCGCUACCUCUCUUUUCUCUUCCAGAUUUCUUUCUUCAGCCGUCCCCUAUUCUUUCCGACUCUCUCACGGAAGUUUUCUCUCUAUCAAACUCAGCCGCUCUUCCCUCUUAGCCCACCUUCCUUUUCUAGUUUUCCUUUCUUUCGUCACACACACUCUCUCCUGCCCCUUCUUGGCUGCGGCUAUUUCUUUUAUAGGAACCCAUAACUCCUAAACCCUCACCUCAAAGGUGAGGAUGAAGGGUUGGUUUCUACCAAAAACUUCAGCCAUCCGAUCCAUUCGGAGCCAAAAAGAACCAGAAAAAUCUUCUGUGAAAAAUGAUAUUAAUUUUUUCAUACUGCUGCAUGUGCGGCUUCUCUUCUUUUUUUUUUAAAUAAUAAUUCAAGAAAAAUGAAAAAAUAAUGUUAAGUAAAGAAAAACAACAAUUUAAGUACAAUCGGAUAAAAUGAACAAAACUAGGAAUAAAAUACAACAAAGCUAAGAUUUUUCUUUUUUCUUUCUUUUUCUUCUUUUUUUUUGAGUAAAUAACAGUAAACCCAAAUCUAAAAGAAAUAAAGCAUAUUUUUUGUGAAUGAUUUUCUUUUUUCGAUAAAUUCUAUGCUAAAAUGACUUAAAAAUAAAAAUAAAAGACUAAAAGUAAAUAAAAACUAACAUAAAAAAAUAAAAAUAAUAGUAAACAAAAAAUACACUAAAAAUUUGGUGUCUACAAGAUUUGUAAAGACUCAAAAAAAAUUUUAUUUACUUUAAACUCCAAAUUCUAACCCAUUUAAUUAUUUAUUUGGCCAAAUGCUCCAAUUAUUAUUUUCUAUCCUUUUUCGGCCUAAUUAAAUAUAUCCAUAGCUUAGUUAUAUUUUUUUAAAGUGACUCGUUUCGAAAUGUAAUUUAUGAAGGCUCGUUAAGUGAAAAUAGUAAAUACGCAACUGGAGUAAAUAAUCGAUUGGAAAAUACAAUAAGUUUGAAAAAAUUGGAGACUUAUGGAUUAGUCUCAAAAUAGGUAAUUUUAUAUUUAAAUGUUCAAAGGUUAGUUAGUUAUAUUACCAUCAUAGGAAUUUCUUAGAAAUUUCAUUAUCUCGCGCUUAAAUUGAAAAUAUACGUUUUUACGCACGCGAGUAAUUGAGGAACCUUAGGCCAUAAUUUUGGAACUAUUAAGAGUGAAUAAUAAUAAUAUGAAUGUAAGUGCAUUAGAGGUUUAGUGCACUAGUGCAAUAAACUCGCGAGAAAUUGAGCCCGAAACGCACGCGGACGUGUACUACUUUAGUGGACAGCUUUGAAUACAAUUGAGCCACACGUUUAAUCUUACCAUUAGAAGCUCAUACCAUCAGCAUUCCCUUUCUCUAAUACUCUCAAAUAGCCGAGCAGCAAAGGAAGAACAAGACCAGAAAAUUCCUCCACCCUCUCUCCUCAAUUCCUUGCUCAAUUCCCUCCAAAUUUUACAUGCAACCCUCAAAUCACAUGGUGAUCAAGAUAGCUAGGAAAGGAGCUGCCUCUCAUGAUUUUUCUACAGCUCAAAGUGACCAAAAAUUUCUGUCUUAGCUCUCUAAGGAAGUAAGUAAUGAUCAACCACUUAAUUCUUGUUUUAUGGAAGAUAGAUUUCACUCAUGAGCUCUUGGAUUCUCAUGUGCAGCUUUAAAUUGUUGGAAAAUUGGUGAGUGGGCUCUAUGAAAUCCCACAAUGAUUUUGAUGAUCUGAUUUGAUAGGAUUGGAUGCUGAUUGUGUUGAUUAAGUGCUAAUUUAGUAGAGUUAAAUGGCAAAAAAUGAAAAGGAAGUCAAAUGAGGAGUUGCAUGUGAAGAUGCCGUUUCUGCCCUACUAUUUUCGUGCAUUUUAGUGAAUUUUCUUGAAGUCCAAUUGAUUUGUUUCUAAUGCAAAUGUGAAAUAUAGGUUGUGUUUAAAGUUUCCUCAAAAUUUUACGUGAUUUGGGUGAGUGCAUGUUGAGUUUUAGAAUCUGCCAAAACUGGAAAAUGAUUCUCGUCACUACCAGACAGCCAUUUUGUUUCGACUAUAAUUCAUCGCUCCGAUGUCAGAAUCAAGUGUCAUUUGCAGCACUAGAAACUAGACAUUUCCAGCUUUCAUUUGGUAUAAAAUGCAACCCCUAAUUCCACCCGAAUACCCCAUACCAACCGUUUAAAGAUGACUGUCCUAUUUCUCUAUUUUCCUGGAACGAAGUUCAGAAGCUACAACUUGAGGCUCAAAUUUGAGCUAGUUGUAUGCUGAAUUUCAAAUUGAUUUCUUCUGUGAAAUUAUAGCUUUACGAAUGUAUUUUCCAAUGCCACCAACCAUGCUCAAUUCCGAGUUGAAUUGAGUGAUUUGUGAUCAAAAUACGAAACCUGCCCUGUCCUUGAAAACCCUAAAUUUUGAGCAGAAUUGAUGUUAGACUUGGUAUGGACUUGCCAAUUGAGUUUCUUGGAGUUAAAACACUUACCAAAUGUACCAUAAAUGUUCCUUAGGAUUUUUAUACACAAAUGAACCAUGUUUGAAGGAUUUUCCUAGGCCAAAUGUUGGAAUGGAAAACAAAAAGCUCGAGACAGUUUUGCCUUAGGAUUUUCCGAAACUUUGGUUGUUUGGUUGACUACCUUUUCGAAGUUAUUUCUCCAUGAAAUUCUGUAGAAGGACAACCCUUAUAUGGUAGUAUUAUACUGCUAAUUAUGGUGUUAUUCCGAGGCCGUUUCAUGGCUCAAAUAAAUUACCAAAGUUCAUGACUCGAGUUUGGAAAACCCAUGUUUCACAAGGAAAUUUUGGUAACUUUGAGUUGCCAUAUCUUAGUAUUCAAAACUUCGUUUCUCAUUCCGCUUGUUUUGUUGUAAACUUGGAUUGCGACUCUAAAAGAGUUCCAACUUUCAAAAACUAGUUUUAAUCAAGUGAAUUCUGCCAAAUUUUCAAAGUUGGUCAAAAACCAACCUAAAUCUGCCUUAGGAACCAAAACAGAGACUUUGAGCUUAUUUUUGAAUAUUUUCCAUUUGGAAUCUUAGAAAAGUGUAUUCUAGGAACUUUUAGUACCUUGGAAGAGGUUUCCAACGGUACCAAAUUUUCUAAUUUUUGCCCUGUAAAACGUGAGAUAUGAUUUUUCAAAUGUAUCAUAUCAAAACUGAAAUUUUCCGAAUUCCAAGGAAAUGGAGUUUUCAAGUACUCCUUAUCCCUUCGAUAUUACUUGAACGAUUUAUACUUGAUUUCCAAGAUGAAAACUAAAUUUCUCUUGUACUUUGAAACCCCACUUGAGAGCCUUGAUUUAGGAUAAUUUAGGCUCGUUUCACGAGACUUUCUAAGAUUGUACUAUGGUAUGAUCUUCUUUAAUAGUAGGGGUUUGUAAAUAAUAGUCUAUUAUUGGGUUUGUUUGGAUUGCUUCAUAUUUUCCCAAUUUUAUUUGCUUACAUCAUCUUUACAAUUUCCAAUACACCUUUUUAUCUUUCCAAUAUCUUUUUAUCUCACAUACAUCACAUCACAAAAAGUGCUAUAGUAAAAAUAUCUCAAAUAAUCCCAAAUAACUUACAAUCCAAACAGACCCAUUAUUUGCUCAGGCGCACACGAGAACCUUCAAGAGAAUCCCACAGUGAACGCCUAAAACUCCGAGGGAUAUUUUUUCCUCAUUACUUAUAUUGGUGAGUGUCAAGUGCAUGUUUACUUGCACUUCGCUUGAGAUUUGUUACCUACAUGAACUCUACUUGAACUUAUUGUUACUUGAACUGUACUUGUUGGGGAAAGUGUGUACUUUAUCGCACUUUAUCUCCUUUACUUGGAUCAAUACAUGACUUGCUACAUGAAUUACAUGAAAUUGCUGGAUUUUACAUGUACAUGACCUAAAGUCGAAUGCAGAGAAAAUCUCAUCGACUAAAACUUGAUUUGUUUCUGAAAACCUGACCUGUGGGGACGCCCAAAACCCAAUGGUUAUAUCUCGUAAUCUCGCAGCCAAUCGUGAGGUCUUGGUCGGGAGAACUUGGUAAAUCUUGAGACCUGAAGUUUGAUCUUUUGAGAUCUUGCUUGGCAUACUGGUAUAGUAUCGCCUUUACAUGCCUGUUGGUUACGGAUCCGAGGGGGUGAAAUGAUGGAUGGAGGGAAGUAAGUGGAGAACUACGGAUUGGAAAUACCAACCCGGUUGACGGAGAGUCAUCGCGGGAAGAUAUACGAAUGACCCUGGCAAUGCAAGUGGAACUUAACUCCUGAGAGCUACCAUAUCCUUGAAUUGUUUCUGUUUAUAUUUCAUUUGAAUUGGCAAUUACUUGUACUUUAUUAUUUGACCUGUUAAUUGGGUUUGUUAUUUGAACUAUGUGAUUGCAUGUGUGUCCUUGACCUCACGAGCGUUUUGCUCACCCUGUAGAUUUGUUUUCCUUAACAGGAUUGGCAUGGAAUAGUACUUAGGAAUUUUUUUAUACACUUCUGGCUUAGGGUUUUAUAUAUAUUUUGGGCUAGACCUCUUACUGAUUGUUCUUCGGAAACCUAAAUUGUGGUUUGCAUAUUUGAUGUACCCAGAUGUAGUAUAUCUUGGAAUUUGAUGUACAUUUUGGGAAUUUAAUGUAAUGAUUGGAUAAGCGUUAUGUAUAUUGUUAAGUUUGGAAGUUUUUCGCACUUUCUUACUUAUCUAGUGUUGUUGAAUGAUUUUGCUUUAAACUUGAAUGGAAACUGCUUGAGUCCUGGCGAGAAUUGGGCAGACGUCCCACGGAUACCCUCUGGUUAGCCUUAGAGAGAAGGGGCGUCACAGUUGGUAUCAGAGCACUAAGUUAGAGAUCUAUAUGGAAGACAUGCUAAAUAUUCUACCCUUAAGAUCUGAGACCGGACGAUUUAGUCAUACCUUAAGUAAUAUUUGGGUGAACUAGUGACUGAGUUGGACAUACCCUAAGUGACAUCCGUGUGAGUUAGCGAUUAAGGUUCUAACCAAAAAGUGUAAUUAUUUUGCAGGGAUGGAAAAUGGAAACGGAGCCCCGACAACUAACGAGAAUGGCCAUGCUAAUGGUCAUGUAGAGCUUUCUAGGCCCAUUUACUACCGAGCUAUUAGGGGAGGAGCUUGUGUGCGAUAUACGCCUUAUGAUAGAUAUCCUCGUUGCCCAUGUAGGGUGACAUUUGCCUACCCGAACCACAUUGUGUUAGCAUUGGACGACGAGCGUCGUCAGUUGG
This 21825-nucleotide long non-coding RNA is filed under the name Coffea arabica (coffee). Its description in RNAcentral is "long non-coding RNA (CARA_LNC007452)". The record is from RNAcentral. Lineage: Eukaryota; Viridiplantae; Streptophyta; Magnoliopsida; Gentianales; Rubiaceae.